CAGUGUUUCAAAUUGUUUAGGCUCACCCUGUGAUCCCAGUUUUAUUCUGAGCUGUGCACCCAGCAAUGUGAUUUGCUCCAUUAUUUUCCAUCGUCAUUUUGAUUAUAAAGAUCAGGAUUUUCUUACCCUGCUGAAAAUGUUCGAUGAAAUUGUCAAGAUUCUGAGCUCUCCAUGGAUGCAGGUCUACAAUAAUUUCCCAGCUCUCAAUGAUUAUCUUCCAGGGAUUCAUAACACAAUCAUUAAAAAUAUGGAUUAUAUAAAAAGUUAUGUUGUAGAGAGAAUAAAAGAACACAAAGAAUCACUAGAUGUUAACAAUCCUCGGGACUUCAUUGAUUGCUUCCUGAUAAAAAUGGAAAAGG
Molecule: long non-coding RNA, 359 nt
Organism: Fukomys damarensis (Damara mole-rat)
Lineage: Eukaryota; Metazoa; Chordata; Mammalia; Rodentia; Bathyergidae
Exons: 2
Source: RefSeq, a predicted model, not a curated record